GCAUUGGUGGUUCAGAGGUAGAAUUCCACUUCCCAUGUGGGAGACCUGGGUUUGAUUCCCUGCCAGUGCG
This 70-nucleotide transfer RNA is filed under the name Loxodonta africana (African savanna elephant). It matches the Rfam family "tRNA". Rfam says of the family: Transfer RNA (tRNA) molecules are approximately 80 nucleotides in length. The record is from Rfam by way of RNAcentral. Lineage: Eukaryota; Metazoa; Chordata; Mammalia; Proboscidea; Elephantidae.